This 470-nucleotide ribosomal RNA is filed under the name uncultured bacterium. Its description in RNAcentral is "bacterial SSU rRNA". It matches the Rfam family "Bacterial small subunit ribosomal RNA", at positions 330 to 793 of the family's 1533-position model. The record is from RNAcentral.
UCCAGACUCCUACGGGAGGCAGCAGUGGGGAAUCUUCCGCAAUGGGCGAAAGCCUGACGGAGCAACGCCGCGUGAUCGAAUGAAGGCCUUCGGGUUGUAAAGAUCUGUUGACAGGGACGAAUAAGCAAUGCGAAUAGUUUUGUGUAUGACGGUACCUGUUUAGAAAGCUCCGGCUAACUACGUGCCAGCAGCCGCGGUAAUACGUAGGGAGCAAGCGUUGUCCGGAAUUACUGGGCGUAAAGGGCGCGUAGGUGGGCGCUUAAGUCAGGUGUGAAAACUCCGGGCUCAACCUGGAGACUGCACUUGAAACUGGGUGUCUUGAGGGCAGGAGAGGAAAGUGGAAUUCCUAGUGUAGCAGUGAAAUGCGUAGAUAUUAGGAAGAACACCAGUGGCGAAGGCGGCUUUCUGGACUGAAACUGACGCUGAGGCACGAAAGCGUGGGGAGCGAACAGGAUUAGAUACCCUAGUAA